RNAcentral lists this small nuclear RNA (305 nucleotides) under Pongo abelii (Sumatran orangutan). RNAcentral's name for it is "7SK RNA". It matches the Rfam family "7SK RNA". From Rfam's summary of the family: 7SK was discovered as an abundant small nuclear RNA in the mid-70s but a possible function has only recently been suggested. Two independent studies have found that 7SK RNA binds the CDK9/cyclin T complex (known as elongation factor P-TEFb). Lineage: Eukaryota; Metazoa; Chordata; Mammalia; Primates; Hominidae. The record is from Rfam by way of RNAcentral.
GGAUGUGAGGGUGAUCUGUCUGUGACAUCUGCCACCCCAUUGACAGCCCGAGCUGAUUCGGCUGAUCUGGCCGGCUAGGCGGGUGUCCCCUUCCUCUCUCACCACUCCAUGUGUGUCCCUCCCAAAGCUGUGCUCGGUCGAAGAGGAUUACCAUCCCCGACAGAGGAGGACUGGUCUUCGGUCAAGGGUAUACAGGUAGCUGCACUCCCCUGCUAGAACCUCCAAACAAGCUCUCAAGGUCCACCAGUCCCACUCCCAGGCUAACCCAUUAAUCCACUGACCCAUUAAUCCAUGAAUGGAUUAAU